UACGGAGGAUGCGAGCGUUAUCCGGAUUUAUUGGGUUUAAAGGGUGCGUAGGCGGACGGUCAAGUCAGCGGUAAAAAUGCGGUGCUCAACGCCGUACAGCCGUCGGAACUGGCAGUCUUGAGUGGGCGAGAAGUAUGCGGAAUGCGUGGUGUAGCGGUGAAAUGCAUAGAUAUCACGCAGAACUCCGAUUGCGAAGGCAGCAUACCGGCGCUCAACUGACGCUCAUGCACGAAAGUGUGGGUAUCGAACAGG
RNAcentral lists this ribosomal RNA (252 nucleotides) under uncultured Bacteroidales bacterium. RNAcentral describes it as "partial 16S ribosomal RNA". It matches the Rfam family "Bacterial small subunit ribosomal RNA", at positions 524 to 776 of the family's 1533-position model. Lineage: Bacteria; Pseudomonadati; Bacteroidota; Bacteroidia; Bacteroidales. The record is from RNAcentral.